GCUCUGGUGGUGGAAUUGGUAGACACGCCAUCUUGAGGGGGUGGUGGGCGUAGCCCGUGCGAGUUCAAGUCUCGCCCAGAGCACCA
Molecule: transfer RNA, 86 nt
Filed under: Mannheimia sp.
Lineage: Bacteria; Pseudomonadati; Pseudomonadota; Gammaproteobacteria; Pasteurellales; Pasteurellaceae
Also listed under: 2 other names
Description: tRNA-Leu
Rfam family: tRNA
About the family: Transfer RNA (tRNA) molecules are approximately 80 nucleotides in length. Their secondary structure includes four short double-helical elements and three loops (D, anti-codon, and T loops). Further hydrogen bonds mediate the characteristic L-shaped molecular structure. tRNAs have two regions of fundamental functional importance: the anti-codon, which is responsible for specific mRNA codon recognition, and the 3' end, to which the tRNAs corresponding amino acid is attached (by aminoacyl-tRNA synthetases). tRNAs cope with the degeneracy of the genetic code in two manners: having more than one tRNA (with a specific anti-codon) for a particular amino acid; and 'wobble' base-pairing, i.e. permitting non-standard base-pairing at the 3rd anti-codon position.
Source: RNAcentral